CUGGAAAUAAUUUUCAUCCUAUACUCUCAUAGAAUCAACAUAAGAUCCAUCCAAGUCAUAUAUAUUCCAGAAUUUGAAGAAUCAAGGCAUGCUUCAAUAAAAGGAUAUCACAAAGAUCAUUCUUCUUGAAAAGCAAAUGCAAGUACAAGACUACAAGUAGCAAAGUACACUAUUGAUUUGAACUAUUCUAAAGCCUGCACAAGUGACAGAAAAGCAGUACUCAAGGCUGACAUACUGACACAAAUCACAAAGUACAAGGCCAGUUCAUCACAAACCAAAAGAUCAAUCUUGGAUCGAUCUUUUGCUACAGCUCAGCAAUCUUGCUUUUGGCAGAACUUAUCCAACAACUCUCUUAUGACAGCUGGUCCAUUUCCAACGGACACAUGAGCUGUCCUAUGCCUUCUUGGAGUCUAUAAAUGCAGCU
This 424-nucleotide long non-coding RNA is filed under the name Cicer arietinum (chickpea). RNAcentral describes it as "long non-coding RNA (CARI_LNC003523)". Lineage: Eukaryota; Viridiplantae; Streptophyta; Magnoliopsida; Fabales; Fabaceae. The record is from RNAcentral.